GACAGAGGUCCCAAGCGUUAGGCGGAAUCACUGGGCUUAAAGCGUGUGUAGGCGGGUCGGUAAGUGCCUUGUGAAAUCCCACAGCUCACCUGUGGAACUGCUGGGCAUACUGCCAAUCUUGAGCCACUUAGGGGCAACCGGAACAAACGGUGGAGCGGUGAAAUGCGUAGAUAUCGUUUGGAACGCCAAUGGUGAAAACAGGUUGCUGGGAGUGUGCUGACGCUGAGACACGAAAGCCAGGGGAGCGAACGGG
RNAcentral lists this ribosomal RNA (253 nucleotides) under uncultured bacterium. RNAcentral describes it as "partial 16S ribosomal RNA". It matches the Rfam family "Bacterial small subunit ribosomal RNA", at positions 524 to 776 of the family's 1533-position model. The record is from RNAcentral.